Molecule: long non-coding RNA, 209 nt
Filed under: Ananas comosus (pineapple)
Lineage: Eukaryota; Viridiplantae; Streptophyta; Magnoliopsida; Poales; Bromeliaceae
Description: long non-coding RNA (ACOM_LNC000834)
Source: RNAcentral
UUCCACCGUUAUUCCAAAAUACCCUCGCUGUUAUCCCCUAUUAGUUUAACUCGGGUUAAACAUGGGUUAAAUGUAUACUUGAGUUAAAACUAUCUAAAAUACCAAUUUUGCCCCUACCUUAUUAUCCUAAUCCCUUAAGUUAUCCUUUCUUUCGCUCCCUCCCAUCUUUCUUCUCCUACGACGCGCGACUUGGCCCCAUUCACAACCGU